Molecule: ribosomal RNA, 563 nt
Filed under: Eccoptura xanthenes
Lineage: Eukaryota; Metazoa; Arthropoda; Insecta; Plecoptera; Perlidae
Description: partial 16S ribosomal RNA
Rfam family: Bacterial large subunit ribosomal RNA
Source: RNAcentral
UCGCCUGUUUAUCAAAAACAUGUCCUCUUGUUUAUAGAGUAUGAGGUCUGACCUGCCCACUGAAAUUAUUUGAAGGGCCGCGGUAUUUUGACCGUGCAAAGGUAGCAUAAUCAUUAGUCUUUUAAUUGAAGGCUGGAAUGAAUGGUUGGACGAGGCACUGACUGUCUCAUUGUGGAUGAGGUUAGAAUUUAACGUUUGAGUGAAAAGGCUUAAAUGUAUUUAAAGGACGAGAAGACCCUAUAGAGCUUGAUAUUAUGAUUUGUAUAAAUUGUUUAGUUGUUUAUGUUUUUUAUGAAUGUUUAGUAUUUUAUUGGGGUGAUAGGAAGAUAAGAAAAACUCUUUUUGGACAAAUUUACAUUGAUUUAUGAGUGAAUGAUCCGUUAAUAGCGAUUAUAAGACUAAGUUACCUUAGGGAUAACAGCGUAAUCUUUUUUGAGAGUUCUUAUCGACAAAAAGGGUUGCGACCUCGAUGUUGGAUUAAGGUGAAAUUUGGGUGUAGAUGUUCAAAUUUUUAGGUCUGUUCGACCUUUGAAUCCUUACAUGAUCUGAGUUCAAACCGGAGA